Molecule: non-coding RNA, 174 nt
Filed under: Trichoderma virens Gv29-8
Lineage: Eukaryota; Fungi; Ascomycota; Sordariomycetes; Hypocreales; Hypocreaceae
Description: eukaryotic large subunit ribosomal RNA
Rfam family: Eukaryotic large subunit ribosomal RNA
Source: Rfam by way of RNAcentral
UGACUCAUUACAGUUAACAUAAUCUCAACUAAUACUACCACCAACAUUGCUUUUUGAUCCUUCGAUGCCAGCUCUUCCUAUUAUACUGAAGCGGAAUUCGGUAAGCGAUAGAUUUUCCACCCACUAAUAGGCAACGUAAGCUACCUGUAGUUUAAGAUCGUCGUAAGACGGGUU